GAAAUGCGAUAAGUAAUGUGAAUUGCAGAAUUCCGUGAAUCAUCGAAUCUUUGAACGCACAUUGCGCCCUCUGGUAUUCCGGGGGGCAUGCCUGUCCGAGCGUCAUUGCGAACCCCUCAAGCACGGCUUGUGUGAUGGGCCCUCCCGCGUCUUGGUCGUCAAGACGGGCCUGAAAUGCAGUGGCGGCUUCGCGGUUAUCCGAUCAGCCAGAGCGUAUGGGGACUUUCUCUCUGUCACACGCCCGCGGCGCGGACCGACGCCUGUCGACCUUCAUUCAUCAUUUUCUCGGUUGACCUCGGAUCAGGUAGGGAUACCCGCUGAACUUAAGC
Molecule: unclassified non-coding RNA, 329 nt
Filed under: plant metagenome
Description: partial contains 5.8S ribosomal RNA, internal transcribed spacer 2, and large subunit ribosomal RNA
Rfam family: 5.8S ribosomal RNA (bases 1-105)
Source: RNAcentral